UGUACAAAACCCAGAAAAUGAAAAUAAAUUAGAUAUGAAGGAAGAAAAAGGUCAAAGAUGAGAUCGUAAAACUGUGAUGCAGACUUGCUGAAACUGGAGUUUGGGUCUUAACUGCCCCUCCAAACUCCUCCUCCAGUUUGUGUGAGAGUUUGUCAGGAGACUGGUUUUUGCUCUGCCAUGCCUGGCCACGCCGGGCCCUGUUCUGGUGCUGAAGUCUGGUGUUGGAAGGCUGUGGCACUUGUAGAGUAAGACCCCCGUCUCCCAAUCUUCUUGGUCUCUCUGAGCUGCAAUUUCCUUAUCUGUAGAAUGAGACAAUGACAGAUCUUGGAUCAGUUGAGCAAUUUGUUUCUCAGAUUGUUCAACUGAAGAAUUUAUUCCUAGAUAUUUGUACUAAAACAUACUAAAACUAAAGUGAGAACAUCAUAUUAGUUAACAGGAAAUUGUUCUGACAUAUGCAGUAAAAGGGAAUUGAAAGCAUUCUUUCCAAAUUUCCACACAUUCAGCCAAAAUCCAAGUCUGCCAUCUUGUGAUGAACGCCUCCCAUGGUCAUGCACUUUGCUUAGUGUUUGUUCCCAUAGGCGUUGACAUUUUGGGUGUGUAUGCCAAGAGGUGACAAGAAACAGAAAUUGGGAUCACUGUGGCUAACCUGAGCAUGUUGGAAACCAAGGAGAGGCUGAUGUUAAUGUUGGAUUUUUGUGACAAAAGAUUCCUUUCAAAGAAAGACCUGUGACAAUUGGUAAUUACAGCUAAUGUGUUUCCACCAACAGCCAUUUUGCAUUGGCAUCACACCAUCCACCAUCAGCGUUGCUGACAGGAGCAGUGUUCAGGAGCCGUGGACAGUGGAUUGCGCUGCUUCAGGAGCCUGGUGACUGGGAGGUUUGCAGGCUGCCAGGGGCCUCAGCUGAAGACCUGGAUCCACAGGACCCACAGAGGUCUGUGCCCUGCUGUGGGGCUGGGUCUGCACAGAAGCAGAGGAAGUGAUACUGGAAAACAUACCAAGGCACCUUCAUCUUGACGAGCCAGGUCCCGGAGGACAGCAACACACCCAGAGGCCCUGCUUUUCUAAUUCACACAAAGGUGCCUGUGGCUGCCACAGUCAACUCUGGGGCUCCCUUUGUUGUGAACAACUGUCUUACAAAUGCCAAUGCUGGUUGUAGGGGGACCUAGCUGAGAGCGUGGGAAGCUUCCACAUGGGCCAUCUUCAUUUUCAAACCUAACGGAGCAACCGGAGUCGAGGAAUCUACUCUUCUACUGCCACCAAGUCUGUGGUCUUCUUGUUAUUCAGAAGUAGGUGUGCAGAAUAAACCUGCAUGAGCUGUGACUUGCCUGGUAGAUAAGUCCUGAGGUCCAACUUGUGUCUUUGGUUUGAUGACUUCAGUGUCAUGCACUUUCCUGAGUCUAUGAAAAUGAUCUUGACAAGUCCCCAGGUCAUAUUGCUCAUUCCUUCUGUGGUGGGAGGGACAGUCUUUUUUAUCUGAACGCUGUGGAUGGCGGUUUUAAACUGUAUUCAUCAGAUAUCCACGCUGAAGUGUUUAGGGAUGGUGUACUGAUGUUUGCUUAAAAAAAAAUGAGUAACAGGUAAAUAUUUGAAUACAUAUGUGAUAACACAAGUAAGCAAAUGUUAACUGGAAAAGCUAGGUGAUGGUG
This 1647-nucleotide long non-coding RNA is filed under the name Macaca fascicularis (crab-eating macaque). RNAcentral describes it as "lncRNA (ENSMFAG00000053607.1)". The record is from RNAcentral. Lineage: Eukaryota; Metazoa; Chordata; Mammalia; Primates; Cercopithecidae.